AAUACCAACCACAGUCCACCAGUUCCCCACAAACUCCUGUUGUUUUAGCUUCUACUUAAAAGCCUACUUUCAAGCAAACUCCGGUGAGCAAGCUCUGUGAGUCAGUAGUGAAUUUAUAUCGGCAAUACAAAUCCCACACAGGUGGAAAUUAAGGGGCAUCCCCCUAAUUUACCUUUGACCAGUGGCUGCAACUUUCCUUUCAUUUUCUCUGGCCAUUACUUCCAAAUUCUUCCUUCU
Pelobates cultripes (western spadefoot toad) is the source of this 237-nucleotide non-coding RNA. NCBI's taxonomy places the organism in Eukaryota, Metazoa, Chordata, Amphibia, Anura, Pelobatidae. The record is from the annotation of a GenBank genome assembly.